GUCCACGCCGUAAACGUUGGGCACUAGGUGUGGGACUCUAUCGACGGGUUCCGUGCCGUAGCUAACGCAUUAAGUGCCCCGCCUGGGGAGUACGGCCGCAAGGCUAAAACUCAAAGGAAUUGACGGGGGCCCGCACAAGCGGCGGAGCAUGUGGCUUAAUUCGAUGCAACGCGAAGAACCUUACCUGGGCUGAACUAUGCGGGAAAAGCCGUAGAGAUACGGUGUCCUUCGGGUCCGCGAUAGGUGGUGCAUGGCUGUCGU
This 261-nucleotide ribosomal RNA is filed under the name uncultured bacterium. Its description in RNAcentral is "partial 16S ribosomal RNA". It matches the Rfam family "Bacterial small subunit ribosomal RNA", at positions 793 to 1055 of the family's 1533-position model. The record is from RNAcentral.